GACGAACGCUGGCGGCGUGCUUAACACAUGCAAGUCGAACGGAAAGGCCUGCUUUCCCUUGUGGAUUGCGGGUACUCGAGUGGCGAACGGGUGAGUAACACGUGAGUGAUCUGCCCCCAACUUGGGUAUAAGCCUGGGAAACUGGGUCUAAUUCCCGAUAGGACUGCAGGGUGGUGCCUGUGGUGGAAAACGAUUUUCUAGUGGUUGGGGAUGAGCUCGCGGCCUAUCAGCUUGUUGGUGGGGUAAUGGCCUACCAAGGCGGCGACGGGUAGCCGGCCUGAGAGGGUGGACGGCCACGUUGGGACUGAGAUACGGCCCAGACUCCUACGGGAGGCAGCAGUGGGGAAUAUUGCACAAUGGGCGGAAGCCUGAUGCAGCGACGCCGCGUGGGGGAUGACGGCCUUCGGGUUGUAAACUCCUUUCGACCGCGAGGAAGCCACCUGGUUGGAAGGGUGGUGACGGUAGUGGUAGAAGAAGCACCGGCUAACUACGUG
Molecule: ribosomal RNA, 494 nt
Filed under: uncultured bacterium
Lineage: Bacteria
Description: partial 16S ribosomal RNA
Rfam family: Bacterial small subunit ribosomal RNA
Source: RNAcentral